RNAcentral lists this transfer RNA (67 nucleotides) under Drosophila unipunctata. Its description in RNAcentral is "tRNA-Asn". Lineage: Eukaryota; Metazoa; Arthropoda; Insecta; Diptera; Drosophilidae. The record is from RNAcentral.
UUAAUUGAAGCCAAAUUAGAGGCUUAUCACUGUUAAUGAUAGAACUGAGUCUAUAACUCCAAUUAAG